Molecule: ribosomal RNA, 477 nt
Filed under: Candidatus Scalindua brodae
Lineage: Bacteria; Pseudomonadati; Planctomycetota; Candidatus Brocadiia; Candidatus Brocadiales; Candidatus Scalinduaceae
Description: bacterial SSU rRNA
Rfam family: Bacterial small subunit ribosomal RNA
Source: RNAcentral
UUCGCAAUGCCCGAAAGGGUGACGAAGCGACGCCGCGUGGGUGAGGAAGGCCCUCGGGUUGUAAAGCCCUGUCAGGAGUUAAGAAAUGUAGGUACGCUAAUAUCGUAUCUAUUUGACAAAGGCUCCAAAGGAAGCCACGGCUAACUCUGUGCCAGCAGCCGCGGUAAUACAGAGGUGGCAAGCGUUGUUCGGAAUUAUAGGGCGUAAAGAGCACGUAGGUGGAUUUGUAAGUCAGAUGUGAAAGCCUUCUGUUCAACGGGAGAAUUGCAUCUGAAACUACAAACCUUGAGUAUAGGAGGGGAGAAUGGAACUUCUGGUGGAGCGGUGAAAUGCGUAGAUAUCAGAAGGAACGCCGGCGGCGAAAGCGAUUCUCUGGCCUAUUACUGACACUCAGUGUGCGAAAGCUAGGGGAGCAAACGGGAUUAGAUACCCCGGUAGUCCUAGCCGUAAACGAUGGGCACUAAGUAGAGGGGUUUU